UAAUAAACCGGACGGAAGGUGGGGAGUGACGUCAAAUACCAUCAUGCCCCUUAUGACCUGGGCUACACACGUGCUACAAUGGUUGGUACAACGAGUUGCGAGUCGGUGACGGCGAGCUAAUCUCUUAAAGCCAAUCUCAGUUCGGAUUGUAGGCUGCAACUCGCCUACAUGAAGUCGGAAUCGCUAGUAAUCGCGGAUCAGCACGCCGCGGUGAAUACGUUCCGGGCCUU
RNAcentral lists this ribosomal RNA (230 nucleotides) under uncultured Streptococcus sp. Its description in RNAcentral is "partial 16S ribosomal RNA". It matches the Rfam family "Bacterial small subunit ribosomal RNA", at positions 1156 to 1382 of the family's 1533-position model. Lineage: Bacteria; Bacillati; Bacillota; Bacilli; Lactobacillales; Streptococcaceae. The record is from RNAcentral.